UUUUCCAAGCUUUUUAAAGAACAACUGUUUUGAGCAAGUAUUUGUCUACAGCAGUCAAUGCGUGAGAUGUGUAAUAAGUGAAUGUCUCUCAGUAGGUAGAUUUUUUUUUUAUUGAACUAGACUAAUUUCAGCCUAUCGAGAUGAAAUAUGUUCCUUUUUUUUUUCUGUGGGUGGCGUCAUUCUGGGAAGCCUAGAAUUUGGAAGUAUAGGAUGGUCUGUGGCCAAAGUUGUCACAGCUUCCAUUUUUUUCUGUGAGUUUUUUUUUUUUUUCCCCAGUGUGUGGAUUGUUUAUUGGAGACUUUUUGCAAUCUAUACAGAGUCUCCAAUAGGUUUCUCCAUUUCAUGGACGGAGCUCCUAGCUUUGUUUUCCUAACGUUUACUCUGUAGCGUGUACCAAAUCUGCUGGUGUUCUGAAAGGUAUGCUUGAGGAUAUUGAUUCUGAUGAGAGUGGCAUGGCCAGAGGUCCCUAAAGGUGCUGGGAAAGUUCGAGACACAACUGUAGAAUCGCUUCUGAGAUUUGGGGAUGGUCCAAGAUCACCGCAGUCAAAUCUGACCUUGGGCCACUAUCCUUCACUGUGUUCCAACAGUCUCUGCUCAGAUUGUAGGAUUUUCAUUCCUAGGUCAUUUCGGGCCAGAGAAGAUAUGGUAUGGAAACAUUCUUCUCCAUUUUAUAAUCACAGAUUUGUGAAUCUGAUGGGGCGUGUCUUCAUUCUUCUGUCAGCUUCACAAAAGUGACUUUUCACCUCCAACUUUCCAUGACCUUGUCCAGCUUGUGGCCAUCCCCAGCCUGGGGAUGGCUCAGUUCUCCUCUUUGCCAGAACUCCCAAAGUUCCUUACCUGUUUAUCACUUACAAAACAUCACCUACCACUAGGGAGCGAAAAGGGAGAAUUAUGACAUGGACUAGAUCAUUGGAAAUCUGAGGUAAAGAACAAACAUGCUUCCUUAUCUCUAAAUUGGAAAUAGAGGAGAUAACGCUGAGAUGAAAUAUCUGUCCUACUAUAAGGUGAGUUGAAACAACAGUGUACGUUCAGCAUUUGGAAAUAAAAACUGCAAGGGUAUAUUUGUAAAUAGAGACAUUAAACGAAGAGAUUGCAGCUACUUUGCUGCAGAAAUGGACUUCACAGAUCUGCUGUGUGCAGAUUACUUACAGCGAAAUGACUGCAAAAUUAUGAACCAAAUGUUUGCUUUACCUUUUUUUUCCUUGAAAUUAUUUCUUCAGAUUUUGGCUUCAGAGAUGACACAGAGCAACGUGAGUUAAUCACAGGCGGAGGGCUGAUGAACAGCAUAUAAAUGUUGAUUUAUAAAAAUACUCUUUUAGGAAAUCCAAAUUGUUAGACCUUGAUCUUCUUCGCAGCUAGAAUGAUAAUUAGGCUUCAUUGCAGCAUAAAUAAUUUAUACUAUACAUCUGCUACCAGACAUACAUUGAAAAAAUUUGGCUCCCAAGCAUUAGGAAAAUUGCAUUUUCUCAUUUCUCUAAUACCAACCCAAAGCCCCUCUUGUGAGUGAGGACCCACAUCUGUGCCAUGUAUUUUCACAUAUCUGCAGCACACCUGGGGACAGGGUCUUUAGAAGGGGCUUCUGACCUGUGUGGGUCACAGAGUCCAGGAAGUGGUGGGAUAUGUAAGAGGUCCUGGAAUCCAUGGUAACAUUAAGGGUUGUUCACAUGUUGAAUAAGUAACGUCUCCCACAUUUAUGUGUAUGACUCUUUGGAAAUCCUAUAUAGUUGCUGUUGUUAUGAUGAAAUAUACAUGAAUAUAAGGGACCUGAAUUAUGAGGAGUUCUUUACUUAGAAUAGAUGUUCUUACCAGGAGUUAAAGCACAACCAUUAUAAACUAUUGUAAAUUUGACUGUUGUAAAAUGAGUUGAGCAACUCCUUUUGACUUUAAAACUGGGGAGUUCCGUCAUGGCGCAGCGGAAACGAAUCCGACUGGGAACCAUCAGUCGGAUUCCCUGGCCUCACUCAGUGGGUUAAGGAUCCGGCUUUGCGGUGAGCUGUGGUGUAGGUUGCACACACGGCUCAGAUCUGGCAUUGCUGUGGCUCCGAUUAGACCCCUAGCCUGGGAACUUCCAUAUGC
RNAcentral lists this long non-coding RNA (2076 nucleotides) under Sus scrofa (pig). Its description in RNAcentral is "lncRNA (ENSSSCG00055009094.1, ENSSSCG00065004810.1)". The record is from RNAcentral. Lineage: Eukaryota; Metazoa; Chordata; Mammalia; Artiodactyla; Suidae.